CGUGGGGAGCAAACAGGAUUAGAUACCCUGGUAGUCCAGGCCCUAAACGAUGAAUGUUAGUCGUCGGGUAGCUAGUCUAUUCGGUGAUGCAGCUAACGCAUUAAACAUUCCGCCUGGGGAGUACGGUCGCAAGAUUAAAACUCAAAGGAAUAGACGGGGACCCGCACAAGUGGUGGAGCAUGUGGUUUAAUUCGAAGAUACGCGAAGAACCUUACCUAGCCUUGACAUAUUUGAGAACACUUUAGAGAUAGAGUGGUGCCUUCGGGAGCUCAUAUACAGGUGCUGCACGGCUGUCGUCAGCUCGUGUCGUGAGAUGUUGGGUUAAGUCCCGCAACGAGCGCAACCCUCGUCACUAGUUACUAACGGUUCGGCCGAGGACUCUAGUGAGACUGCCUUCGUAAGGAGGAGGAAGGUGAGGACGACGUCAAGUCAUCAUGGCCCUUACGGCUAGGGCAACACACGUGCUACAAUGGCCAGGACAAUGAGAAGCGAUACCGCGAGGUGGAGCAAAUCUAUAAACCUGGUCUCAGUUCGGAUUGUAGUCUGCAACUCGACUACAUGAAGCUGGAAUCACUAGUAAUCGUAGAUCAGCUAUGCUACGGUGAAUACGUUCCCGGGUCUUGUACUCACCGCCCGUCACACCAUGGGAGUUGAUUUCACCCGAAGCGGGGAAGCUAAACUGGCUACCCUCCACGGUGGAAUCAGCGACUGGGGUGAAGUCGUAACAAGGUAACCGUA
Molecule: ribosomal RNA, 738 nt
Filed under: uncultured Campylobacterota bacterium
Lineage: Bacteria; Pseudomonadati; Campylobacterota
Description: bacterial SSU rRNA
Rfam family: Bacterial small subunit ribosomal RNA
Source: RNAcentral